AGAGUUUGAUCAUGGCUCAGAUUGAACGCUGGCGGCAGGCCUAACACAUGCAAGUCGUGCGGAAACGACAUUAUUGAUUCUUCGGAGGAUUUAAUGGGCGUCGAGCGGCGGACGGGUGAGUAAUGUCAAGGAAAUUGCCUUGAUGUGGGGGAUAACCAUUGGAAACGAUGGCUAAUACCGCAUAAUGCCUACGGGCCAAAGAGGGGGACCUUCGGGCCUCUCGCGUCAAGAUAUGCCUAGGUGGGAUUAGCUAGUUGGUGAGGUAAUGGCUCACCAAGGCGACGAUCCCUAGCUGGUCUGAGAGGAUGAUCAGCCACACUGGAACUGAGACACGGUCCAGACUCCUGCGGGAGGCAGCAGUGGGGAAUAUUGCACAAUGGGCGAAAGCCUGAUGCAGCCAUGCCGCGUGUAUGAAGAAGGCCUUCGGGUUGUAAAGUACUUUCAGUUGUGAGGAAGGGUGUGUAGUUAAUAGUUGCGCAUCUUGACGUUAGCAACAGAAGAAGCACCGGCUAACUCCGUGCCAGCAGCCGCGGUAAUACGGAGGGUGCGAGCGUUAAUCGGAAUUACUGGGCGUAAAGCGCAUGCAGGUGGUUCAUUAAGUCAGAUGUGAAAGCCCAGGGCUCAACCUCGGAACUGCAUUUGAAACUGGUGAACUAGAGUGCUGUAGAGGGGGGUAGAAUUUCA
RNAcentral lists this ribosomal RNA (684 nucleotides) under uncultured Vibrionaceae bacterium. RNAcentral describes it as "bacterial SSU rRNA". It matches the Rfam family "Bacterial small subunit ribosomal RNA", at positions 8 to 671 of the family's 1533-position model. Lineage: Bacteria; Pseudomonadati; Pseudomonadota; Gammaproteobacteria; Vibrionales; Vibrionaceae. The record is from RNAcentral.